UACGGGGGGAGCAAGCGUUGUUCGGAUUUACUGGGCGUAAAGGGCGCGUAGGCGGCGCAACAAGUCACUUGUGAAAUCUCCGGGCUUAACCCGGAGCGGCCAAGUGAUACUGUCGUGCUAGAGUGCGGAAGGGGCUACUGGAAUUCUCGGUGUAGCGGUGAAAUGCGUAGAUAUGUGGAGGAACACCGAUGGCGAAGGCAGCCCCCUGGGUUAACACUGACGCUCAUGCACGAAAGCGUGGGGAGCAAACAGG
RNAcentral lists this ribosomal RNA (253 nucleotides) under uncultured bacterium. RNAcentral's name for it is "partial 16S ribosomal RNA". It matches the Rfam family "Bacterial small subunit ribosomal RNA", at positions 524 to 776 of the family's 1533-position model. The record is from RNAcentral.